UGAGGAAUAUUGGUCAAUGGGCGAAAGCCUGAACCAGCCAAGUAGCGUGCAGGAUGACGGCCCUACGGGUUGUAAACUGCUUUUAGGCGGGGGUAAAGGGGCGGACGUGUUCCGCUUUUGCAAGUACCGCCAGAAAAAGGACCGGCUAAUUCCGUGCCAGCAGCCGCGGUAAUACGGAAGGUCCGGGCGUUAUCCGGAUUUAUUGGGUUUAAAGGGAGCGUAGGCCGUCUGUUAAGCGUGUUGUGAAAUGUCGGGGCUCAACCUGGGCAUUGCAGCGCGAACUGGCAGACUUGAGUGCGCAGGAAGUAGGCGGAAUUCGUCGUGUAGCGGUGAAAUGCUUAGAUAUGACGAAGAACUCCGAUUGCGAAGGCAGCCUGCUGUAGCGUAACUGGCGCUGAAGCUCGAAAGCGUGGGGUAUCGAACAGGGAUUAGAUACCCUGGGUAGU
This 446-nucleotide ribosomal RNA is filed under the name uncultured Prevotella sp. RNAcentral describes it as "bacterial SSU rRNA". It matches the Rfam family "Bacterial small subunit ribosomal RNA", at positions 355 to 794 of the family's 1533-position model. The record is from RNAcentral. Lineage: Bacteria; Pseudomonadati; Bacteroidota; Bacteroidia; Bacteroidales; Prevotellaceae.